This 3456-nucleotide long non-coding RNA is filed under the name Homo sapiens (human). RNAcentral describes it as "HSALNT0196837". Lineage: Eukaryota; Metazoa; Chordata; Mammalia; Primates; Hominidae. The record is from RNAcentral.
UUUUUUGUUUUUUUUUUUUGAGAUAGGGUCUCACUGUGUGGCCCAGGCUGGAGUGCAGUGGUGCGAUCUCUGCUCGCUGCAGUCUCCACCUCCUGUGCUCAAGUGAUCCUCCCACCGCAGCCUCCUCAGUAGCCGGAACUAUUAGUGUGUACCACUACGCCCAGCUAAUUUUGGUAUUUUUGUAGAGAUGGGGUCUUGCUAUGUUACCCAGGCUGGUCUCAAACUCCUGGGUUCAAGUGAUUCACCCACUUUAGCCUCUCAAAGUUCUGGGACUGCAGAUGUGAGCCACAGUGUCUGGCCUAGCAAUUAUUCUUAACUGCAGUGUAGUUUCUGAGGGCAAAGUCAGUUUUGGACUUAAUUUAUGUUUAUUUAAAAAGGAUAUUUUUCUACUUUUUCCUUUCUCACCUCAAGUGCCAGCAAACUAGAGCUGAAAAGUCUUCAAAUCUAUUGGCCUCCUGUGCUUUUCACUGUUUAUUGUCUCUUCAACAGGCACUCUCCCUCUUCCUUCUAUGACAAGGACCCUGAUUCGACACGGCUGCCCAUGUUCCCAGCUCCAGGAGAUAAACGAAGUCAAACCUAAGCCACUCAUGACAAAUUUGUCUCCUGUGUAAUUGGUCUAGGCACAAGCACAUGACCCAUUUAUAGACAAUGAGACAGGCCCUUGUUGAAUUAGAACACUGCUGCUAAAAUUGAAAGCAUGAGAGAAAGCAAAAGCUGUUGGACCUCUUAUAGACGGUGACUGGAAUCAUCACAGUGACCCGUUACCACCUUCUCUUGUUCAAGGUGGCCGAGGAGGCCGUCGGAGGACCACAAAGCUGCAAGUGGCUUUCCUGCGGCCUGCAGGGAACAGGUGGAGGACACUUGGAAGGGCACCCACCCCGGGUCUCACAGGAGUCUGCACCCGCAGGUCACACUGGCAUUAGCCCCUCAUCCUCUGGAGUUCAUCUCAUCCAGGCGAAGACAGCUGGCUGGCCUCAGAGGGUGAGACGCAACUCGAGGGUAAAAACAUUUUUACAGGGCAUGGACACAAAAGUGGCCUUUACCUCUGGAUAAGCUUUUAAAACUUCCCAUUUACAUGUAAAGGUGUACUUUCUAUGUGCCACCAAGAAACCUAAAGUGAGUAAAAGGUGUUUCACUUUAAUCAAGUUCCCCAAUGAGGGGGCACAGCUCUGAAAAGCACUGUCACAACAGGAGAUUCGAGGGUGCAUGCAAAGCAAUGUUUCUAGAAAAUGCCAAAGGAAACAGACACAACUCCAGUGUGGACUCCCGCUUCCCUGCACUGCUGCUCCAUCCUCAGGGCGGAGGCCACAUCGUCCAGCUAGCUGUGAGAACCUCAUCAUGCUCCUUGAUUGUGUGCAGCAGGUGUCUGCUGAAGUCCUCCACACUCUGCCUGUCUCAUCCGCUGAGCAGUGCCUCCUCCCGAUUCAGCACGUCCCUGGUGCCGACUUUCUGCACGUGUUCACUUUGAGGCUGCAUUGUGGGCCUGCAAGAAAUGCAAAGCUGGUUGAGGCUUUAUUCAAUUCAAAUUCAAGCUGUUAAAUCGAGGCUCUCAGACUCCUGCUGCCUGGCCAGUGGAGAAAUUAACUUUCACAUAUGGCUUUGGGAUUUCUCUCUGUCAUCCUGGUCGACGUGUUCUCUCAUUUUUCUGAAGUCUGGGACCUCAACACAGACAUCUGGGUGAAGGCCUUGACAGCAGCGCUGGUGCAAAAUGAAUUGUCACAUCACACCCAACGUUCUCAACCUUUAGAAUCUGAAAGUAAGAAAAACACCUCAAACAUUGAUUCUGAGUAAUCAGCACAGAUUUCUAAAAGAAACUUUAUGGGAUGCUGAGACAUGAAUAAAAACAACUUUAUUCCUUUGGAAAGGACAACCCACAUGCUAAGAAGAUGACACUACACGUUGUUAUAGCCCGAAAGGCCCUCUUUCCACAGGGGAGCAGUGAAAAGUAGAGGUUGCCCAUGUGGAUUCCCAAGUCAGAUAGAUGUGGAUUCAGAUCCCAGCUCUGCUGCUUGCUACCCAAGAGACCAUGGACUGUGGACUCUUUAGGUCUCAGGGUUUUUGUUUGUUGUCUGUUUUUCACUUCCAAAACCAGAAAAUGAGAAGAUAUUUUCCAUAAGAUGGCGGUGGUGAGUAAAUGUAAUUAUAUGUCUAAAGCUAUGGGCAUGAAAGCUUGGCACACAUUUAAGUAAGUGCUUGAUAAAUGUUAAUUCUUACAACUAUUGGUAUCAUUUAGAUUUAGGUUGCUGAGUUAGUGGGAAAUAAUGUCCUUAUCAUGUGAGGAAUCCCUAUUCUCAAAAGGGGUUAUUAUCAUUAGAAUGCUAACUGUUUUCAAAACAGCUAAUUGACCAUUUUAUUCAGAAGCACCAUCUGCUACUCAUUAGGGUCUAGGUUUCUGUCAGCUCACGGGUGCCCAUAUGUGAGUUGAUAACCCUAUUUCAGUCUUGGUUGUUGAAUCCUCAGUGUCUGCGGUUGACUGACUAUCAGGUAUUUGCAUCUCUGAAAGUAAUUUUCAGCAGUGAGUUUUUAGUUAGGUUCUUUGGUUACAGUUCUGGAUAAUUAACACUAAAAUGAGACAUCUUAGAAGGCUUUGGCUCAGAUAAUUGAGAGAAGUGAAUGUUGAACAAGAUUCAGGAAGGGAAGAGCUGGGAUACCCCAAUGUCUGGAUUUCAUGCUCUUUUUCUCCAAGCACAUCCACUGUGGGGCUUGGCCUCAAUCCCCUAGAUGUCUUCAAUAUAAUCUUCAAUUGUCAGGAGAAGAGAACUUGAUGGACCUUGCUUGGACAAAAUGCCUUCACCGCUAACUCAGUCAGCUAUGGCGAUGGGUCAAGGACCUGGUGGUUUUACAGAGAAGACCCUUGGUCAAAUCUUUGUGAAUGAAGCAACCAUUCUGAUGUUCAAUAACAGGGUAAGUGCUGGCCAAUGAUGUCAUUAUCGUCCAUCCUGUGGCUUCCACACAUCAGUGAUCUUAUUAGAUACCUGCAAUUUCAACCCACUAUAUCAGAAUUCCAUAGGAAUGAGUUGUUUUUAAAGUUCUUCAGAGUGAAUUUGGAUGCUCAGUCAUUAUAAAGAACUAUCUUCAUCCUACAAAGACUGGUGUUUUUUCUUUCCUUGUUUAUCUUGGAAUUUUUUUCCAAUUGCAGCCUUGAAAACCAUUUCCAAUAAUGUCAGAAUUUGCUUAAAAGAUUGUGAAAGACGGUAAUCUGGAUUGUAAUACUGGGUCAAAGAGACCAUACCAGGAGCCAACCAUGCUAAAUCUAACUUUAAAAUACAGAAUUACAAUGUUAAGACAAGUUCCAUAGAGUGAUAAGGUCUAUGUGGUACUUACUAUUUUACACACAUUUUCCUACACUUAGUGUAACUGUCUCCUAAUUAAAUGCAAUUGUUUUAAAUUAGCUGAUGUGUGUUUUAUGUGAUAUAGCUUUAUAUCCUAAGCCAGAAUAAAAAUAUUCUGAGAGUG